Molecule: ribosomal RNA, 217 nt
Filed under: Bacillus cereus
Lineage: Bacteria; Bacillati; Bacillota; Bacilli; Caryophanales; Bacillaceae
Description: partial 16S ribosomal RNA
Rfam family: Bacterial small subunit ribosomal RNA
Source: RNAcentral
ACUGAGACACGGCCCAGACUCCUACGGGAGGCAGCAGUAGGGAAUCUUCCGCAAUGGACGAAAGUCUGACGGAGCAACGCCGCGUGAGUGAUGAAGGCUUUCGGGUCGUAAAACUCUGUUGUUAGGGAAGAACAAGUGCUAGUUGAAUAAGCUGGCACCUUGACGGUACCUAACCAAAAAGCCACGGCUAACUACGUGCCAGCAGCCGCGGUAAUAC